AAGAUUUUAGUUUAUGUAAAAAUAAUUAAUUUGCUAUUAAUAGAAAGAUUCUCUAAAUCUUA
This 62-nucleotide transfer RNA is filed under the name Botryllus schlosseri. RNAcentral describes it as "transfer RNA-Ala". The record is from RNAcentral. Lineage: Eukaryota; Metazoa; Chordata; Ascidiacea; Stolidobranchia; Styelidae.